GAUGAACGCUGGCGGCGUGCCUAAUACAUGCAAGUCGAGCGAACAGACGAGGAGCUUGCUCCUCUGACGUUAGCGGCGGACGGGUGGGUAACACGUGGAUAACCUACCUAUAAGACUGGGAUAACUUCGGGAAACCGGAGCUAAUACCGGAUAAUAUAUUGAACCGCAUGGUUCAAUAGUGAAAGACGGUUUUGCUGUCACUUAUAGAUGGAUCCGCGCCGCAUUAGCUAGUUGGUAAGGUAACGGCUUACCAAGGCGACGAUGCGUAGCCGACCUGAGAGGGUGAUCGGCCACACUGGAACUGAGACACGGUCCAGACUCCUACGGGAGGCAGCAGUAGGGAAUCUUCCGCAAUGGGCGAAAGCCUGACGGAGCAACGCCGCGUGAGUGAUGAAGGUCUUCGGAUCGUAAAACUCUGUUAUUAGGGAAGAACAAAUGUGUAAGUAACUAUGCACGUCUUGACGGUACCUAAUCAGAAAGCCACGGCUAACUACGUG
RNAcentral lists this ribosomal RNA (497 nucleotides) under uncultured bacterium. RNAcentral describes it as "partial 16S ribosomal RNA". It matches the Rfam family "Bacterial small subunit ribosomal RNA", at positions 28 to 507 of the family's 1533-position model. The record is from RNAcentral.